Molecule: ribosomal RNA, 460 nt
Filed under: uncultured bacterium
Lineage: Bacteria
Description: partial 16S ribosomal RNA
Rfam family: Bacterial small subunit ribosomal RNA
Source: RNAcentral
CCUACGGGAGGCAGCAGUGAGGAAUAUUGGUCAAUGGACGAGAGUCUGAACCAGCCAAGUAGCGUGAAGGAUGACUGCCCUAUGGGUUGUAAACUUCUUUUAUAAAGGAAUAAAACGAGGCACGUGUGCCUUUUUGCAUGUACUUUAUGAAUAAGGCUCGGCCAACUCCGUGCCAGCCGCCGCGGUAAUACGGAGGAUCCGAGCGUUAUCCGGAUUUAUUGGGUUUAAAGGGAGCGUAGAUGGGUUGUUAAGUCAGUUGUGAAAGUUUGCGGCUCAACCGUAAAAUUGCAAUUGAUACUGGCAGUCUUGAGUACAGUUGAGGUAGGCGGAAUUCGUGGUGUAGCGGUGAAAUGCUUAGAUAUCACGAAGAACCCCGAUUGCGAAGGCAGCUUACUAAACUGUGACUGACAUUGAUGCUCGAAAGUGUGGGUAUCAAACAGGAUUAGAUACCCGUGUAGUC